AGAGCUAUAGCUCAAUUGAAUAGAGCAUUUCCCUCCUAAGGAAAAGGCUGCCGGUUUGAUUCCGGCUAGCUCUACUA
RNAcentral lists this transfer RNA (77 nucleotides) under Alkalibacterium putridalgicola. Its description in RNAcentral is "tRNA_Arg_CCT". It matches the Rfam family "tRNA". Rfam says of the family: Transfer RNA (tRNA) molecules are approximately 80 nucleotides in length. Their secondary structure includes four short double-helical elements and three loops (D, anti-codon, and T loops). Lineage: Bacteria; Bacillati; Bacillota; Bacilli; Lactobacillales; Carnobacteriaceae. The record is from RNAcentral.